RNAcentral lists this ribosomal RNA (459 nucleotides) under uncultured bacterium. RNAcentral describes it as "partial 16S ribosomal RNA". It matches the Rfam family "Bacterial small subunit ribosomal RNA", at positions 338 to 795 of the family's 1533-position model. The record is from RNAcentral.
CCUACGGGUGGCAGCAGUGAGGAAUAUUGGUCAAUGGCCGAGAGGCUGAACCAGCCAAGUCGCGUGAGGGAAGAAUGUCCUAUGGAUUGUAAACCUCUUUUGUCAGGGAGCAAAGUCACCCACGUGUGGGUGUUGGAGAGUACCUGAAGAAAAAGCCUCGGCUAACCCCGUGCCAACAGCCGCGGUAAUACGGAGGAUGCGAGCGUUAUCCGGAUUUAUUGGGUUUAAAGGGUGCGUAGGCGGGUUAUCAAGUCAGCGGUAAAAUCGUGGAGCUCAACCCGGGCCGGCCGUUGAAACUGGGGAUCUUGAGUGGGCGAGAAGUAUGCGGAAUGCGUGGUGUAGCGGUGAAAUGCAUAGAUAUCACGCAGAACUCCGAUUGCGAAGGCAGCAUACCGGCGCCCGACUGACGCUGAGGCACGAAAGCGUGGGGAUCGAACAGGAUUAGAUACCCCGGUAGUC